Long non-coding RNA from Thunnus maccoyii (southern bluefin tuna), 849 nucleotides. RefSeq lists it as uncharacterized. NCBI's taxonomy places the organism in Eukaryota, Metazoa, Chordata, Actinopteri, Scombriformes, Scombridae. The record is from RefSeq and is a predicted model, not a curated record. The transcript has 5 exons.
AAGGAUUAAUGUUACAUGUGCUAGCUGGUGAAAGCAGCAGUAUGGCAUGAUUAAUGGAGGGAUUAAACACAUACAGAUUGCCACCGGGAAUCAUUUCUGGAGUCCAAAUGAAAUGGAUACAGUUGUCAACAGUGAGAAGUUUGUUCAGGGGUCUGGCAUAAAUCCUGCCUCAGACGAAUGGUGAAUGAUAACACCCAAGACCUGUCCCAGGAGCAACAGUCAGAUCUGCUGUCAGAUCAGGAUAACAUACCAGAUGAUGAUGAGCACAUGUCUGACGAUGAAUAUGUACCAGACUCAGAGUCACAAGAUGAUGAUGAUGAUGAUGAGGAUGAUGCAGAUGCAAGCAUGCAGUGAUACCUGAUGUUGAAAUAUCUUAUGGGUCAGACACAAGCAUCCCAGUUGUGCCCAACACAUCAAAAGACUCUCCUCAACCAGCCGUGGAGAACCUGCAACUUUACUUCGAUGUUCUCCAAGCCACUCUUAAUGAUCUUAAACUUUACUGAAUGCACAUAAAAUUCUGUUUAUGUUAUUCUCUAGAGCUAGAGGUAAUGGUAGCAAAAACUUAUGUUCAAACUAACUUCAUAUUCCCACUGUACAAGGAUCCAUUGUUGAGAGUUAUAGAAUUAAAGCACCUUGGUAUUUAGAUAGAUGACAAAUUCACAUUCAAAUUUCAUAUAGACAAUCUUGUCAACAAAUUGUGACAAAAAAUUGUUUUUUGUACAGAAAUAGAACUAACUUUCCUAUGUUUUGUAGGAAAAGGACUGAUGAAGCUGCUUUUCUCUAUUAUGGAUUAUGGUGAUGUAAUUUCUAGGCAUGCCUCUGCCUCUACUCUUAAGCCCUUGAAUGCUG